UACUAUACUAGGUGUAAAUAAAAUUACUUGAAUAUUAUUAGAUAUAUUCUUUAAGCUUAAAGAAUUUGGCGGUGAUUCAGUCUAGUUAGAGGAACCUGUUUUUAAAUUGAUACUCCGCAAAAUAUCUUACUUGCUUUUGUUUUCAACAGUAUGUAUACCGUCAUUAUCAGAUAAUUUCAAGAGAAUGAUUAUUAAAUUUUAUAGAUUUAAAUAAAUUAGAUCAAGGUGCAGCUAAUAAGUAAGUUAAAAUGGGUUACAAUAAUGUAAAAUUACACGGAUAAGAUCUUGAAAUAGAAUUUUUAAGGAGGAUUUAAUUGUAAUAAGACUUUACUAUGAUCAAAAGAUAUAAGUUCUGAAUCAU
RNAcentral lists this ribosomal RNA (361 nucleotides) under Schizophroida hilensis. RNAcentral's name for it is "partial 12S ribosomal RNA". Lineage: Eukaryota; Metazoa; Arthropoda; Malacostraca; Decapoda; Majidae. The record is from RNAcentral.